Molecule: ribosomal RNA, 328 nt
Filed under: Plasmodium ovale (malaria parasite P. ovale)
Lineage: Eukaryota; Apicomplexa; Aconoidasida; Haemosporida; Plasmodiidae
Description: SSU rRNA
Rfam family: Eukaryotic small subunit ribosomal RNA
Source: RNAcentral
AACCUGGUUGAUCUUGCCAGUAGUCAUAUGCUUGUCUCAAAGAUUAAGCCAUGCAAGUGAAAGUAUAUGCAUAUUUUAUAUGUAGAAACUGCGAACGGCUCAUUAAAACAGUUAUAAUCUACUUGACAUUUCUACUUACAAGGAUAACUACGGAAAAGCUGUAGCUAAUACUUGCUUUAAUACGUUUGAUUCAUUUUUGUCUCUUACGUAUGUACUUGUUAAGCCUUUAAGAGAAAAGUUUACAACUUAAGGAAUUAUAACAAAGAAGUAACACAUAAUAAGUUUACCUUAUUUAGUGUGUAUCAAUCGAGUUUCUGACCUAUCAGCU